Non-coding RNA from Brassica napus (rape), 125 nucleotides. NCBI's taxonomy places the organism in Eukaryota, Viridiplantae, Streptophyta, Magnoliopsida, Brassicales, Brassicaceae. The record is from Rfam.
GGAAGUUAAGAAACUGUUUCUUAAUUUUUAACUAAAAAAGCUAAGAACCGGUUCUUAAAUAAGGACUUUAAGAAUCGGUUCUUAGCUUUUUUAGUUAAAAGUUAAGAAACAGUUUCUUAACUUCC